UAGAGUUUUGAUCAUGGCUCAGAGUGAACGCUGGCGGUAGGCCUAACACAUGCAAGUCGAACGGCAGCACAGGAGAGCUUGCUCUCUGGGUGGCGAGUGGCGGACGGGUGAGGAAUACAUCGGAAUCUACUUUUUCGUGGGGGAUAACGUAGGGAAACUUACGCUAAUACCGCAUACGACCUACGGGUGAAAGCAGGGGAUCUUCGGACCUUGCGCGAUUGAAUGAGCCGAUGUCGGAUUAGCUAGUUGGCGGGGUAAAGGCCCACCAAGGCGACGAUCCGUAGCUGGUCUGAGAGGAUGAUCAGCCACACUGGAACUGAGACACGGUCCAGACUCCUACGGGAGGCAGCAGUGGGGAAUAUUGGACAAUGGGCGCAAGCCUGAUCCAGCCAUACCGCGUGGGUGAAGAAGGCCUUCGGGUUGUAAAGCCCUUUUGUUGGGAAAGAAAUCCAGCUGGCUAAUACCCGGUUGGGAUGACGGUACCCAAAGAAUAAGCACCGGCUAACUUCGUGCCAGCAGCCGCGGUAAUACGAAGGGUGCAAGCGUUACUCGGAAUUACUGGGCGUAAAGCGUGCGUAGGUGGUCGUUUAAGUCCGUUGUGAAAGCCCUGGGCUCAACCUGGGAACUGCAGUGGAUACUGGGCGACUAGAGUGUGGUAGAGGGUAGCGGAAUUCCUGGUGUAGCAGUGAAAUGCGUAGAGAUCAGGAGGAACAUCCAUGGCGAAGGCAGCUACCUGGACCAACACGACACGAGGCACGAAAGCGGGGGCA
Molecule: ribosomal RNA, 770 nt
Filed under: Stenotrophomonas maltophilia
Lineage: Bacteria; Pseudomonadati; Pseudomonadota; Gammaproteobacteria; Lysobacterales; Lysobacteraceae
Description: bacterial SSU rRNA
Rfam family: Bacterial small subunit ribosomal RNA
Source: RNAcentral